This 308-nucleotide ribosomal RNA is filed under the name uncultured bacterium. Its description in RNAcentral is "partial 16S ribosomal RNA". It matches the Rfam family "Bacterial small subunit ribosomal RNA", at positions 505 to 807 of the family's 1533-position model. The record is from RNAcentral.
GAGUCAGCAGCAGCCACGGGAAUACGGAGGGAGCCAGCGUUGUUCGGAAUUACUGGGCGUAAAGCGCACGUAGGCGGUUAUUCAAGUCAGAGGUGAAAGCCCGGGGCUCAACCCCGGAACUGCCUUUGAAACUAGAUGACUGGAAUCUUGGAGAGGUCAGUGGAAUUCCGAGUGUAGAGGUGAAAUUCGUAGAUAUUCGGAAGAACACCAGUGGCGAAGGCGACUGACUGGACAAGUAUUGACGCUGAGGUGCGAAAGCGUGGGGAGCAAACAGGAUUAGAUACCCCAGUAGUCCCUGUCUCUUAUAC